UGGGGAAUAUUGGACAAUGGGCGAAAGCCUGAUCCAGCAAUGCCGCGUGUGUGAAGAAGGCCUUCGGGUUGUAAAGCACUUUCAGUAGGGAAGAAAAGCAGAGCGCUAAUACCGCUCAGUGCUGACGUUACCUACAGAAGAAGCACCGGCUAACUCCGUGCCAGCAGCCGCGGUAAUACGGAGGGUGCGAGCGUUAAUCGGAAUUACUGGGCGUAAAGGGCGCGUAGGCGGUUCGGUAAGUCAGAUGUGAAAGCCCCGGGCUUAACCUGGGAAUUGCAUUUGAUACUGCCAGGCUUGAGUGUGGUAGAGGGAAGCGGAAUUCCGGGUGUAGCGGUGAAAUGCGUAGAUAUCCGGAGGAACACCAGUGGCGAAGGCGGCUUCCUGGACCAACACUGACGCUGAGGCGCGAAAGCGUGGGGAGCAAACAGGAUUAGAUACCCCCGUAGUCC
RNAcentral lists this ribosomal RNA (449 nucleotides) under uncultured prokaryote. RNAcentral's name for it is "bacterial SSU rRNA". It matches the Rfam family "Bacterial small subunit ribosomal RNA", at positions 355 to 796 of the family's 1533-position model. The record is from RNAcentral.